GAGAAGUAUAUGUGUAUACAUCAACACAUACUUAUAUUUGUAUAUGGAUUUACAUAUAUGUGUAUUGUUGGUGUGUGAUACGAUAUUCCAUAUC
Molecule: microRNA precursor, 94 nt
Organism: Gallus gallus (chicken)
Lineage: Eukaryota; Metazoa; Chordata; Aves; Galliformes; Phasianidae
Source: Ensembl